GAUGAACGCUAGCGGCAGGCUUAACACAUGCAAGUCGAGGGGUAACAUUGGUGCUUGCACCAGAUGACGACCGGCGCACGGGUGCGUAACGCGUAUAGAACCUACCUUUUACAGAGGGAUAGCCUUUAGAAAUGAAGAUUAAUACCUCAUGGCAUUAUAGAUUGGCAUCGAUUUACAAUUAAAGAUUUAUCGGUAAAAGAUGGCUAUGCGUCCUAUUAGCUAGAUGGUAAGGUAACGGCUUACCAUGGCAAUGAUAGGUAGGGGUCCUGAGAGGGAGAUCCCCCACACUGGUACUGAGACACGGACCAGACUCCUACGGGAGCAGCAGUGAGGAAUAUGGUCAAUGGAGCAACUCUGAACCAGCCAUGCCGCGUGCAGGAAGACUG
RNAcentral lists this ribosomal RNA (386 nucleotides) under uncultured bacterium. RNAcentral's name for it is "bacterial SSU rRNA". It matches the Rfam family "Bacterial small subunit ribosomal RNA", at positions 28 to 414 of the family's 1533-position model. The record is from RNAcentral.